Molecule: long non-coding RNA, 240 nt
Filed under: Panax ginseng (ginseng)
Lineage: Eukaryota; Viridiplantae; Streptophyta; Magnoliopsida; Apiales; Araliaceae
Description: long non-coding RNA (PGIN_LNC016628)
Source: RNAcentral
AAUUGUUGAGUUUAAUGCAUUUCAUUGCUACAAUUAAUCUAAUAUAUUUUAAUGAGCUUAGUUAUGGUUAGGCCAGUCAAUGGUUCAGAUCGGAGCAAAUCACGCUCUGAUCUAAUAUGAUCCAUCAAAUGUGAUAAUGUAUCAGCGAUCUGAUCAUUGAUUUGCGAUCCACUAUUUCUAACAAUAUAGAUUAUGAUCCAAAUCAAUCCAUUUUUUUUUGUACUUAUAUUAAAUUAUGAG